GGGGAUGUGGCUCAACGGUAGAGCACCUCCUUUGCAAGGAGGGGGUUAGGGGUUCGAGUCCCCUCAUCUCCA
This 72-nucleotide transfer RNA is filed under the name Actinomycetota bacterium. RNAcentral describes it as "Actinobacteria bacterium (freshwater metagenome) tRNA-Ala". It matches the Rfam family "tRNA". From Rfam's summary of the family: Transfer RNA (tRNA) molecules are approximately 80 nucleotides in length. Their secondary structure includes four short double-helical elements and three loops (D, anti-codon, and T loops). Further hydrogen bonds mediate the characteristic L-shaped molecular structure. tRNAs have two regions of fundamental functional importance: the anti-codon, which is responsible for specific mRNA codon recognition, and the 3' end, to which the tRNAs corresponding amino acid is attached (by aminoacyl-tRNA synthetases). tRNAs cope with the degeneracy of the genetic code in two manners: having more than one tRNA (with a specific anti-codon) for a particular amino acid; and 'wobble' base-pairing, i.e. permitting non-standard base-pairing at the 3rd anti-codon position. Lineage: Bacteria; Bacillati; Actinomycetota. The record is from RNAcentral.